GGGGAAUAUUGGACAAUGGGCGCAAGCCUGAUCCAGCCAUGCCGCGUGUGUGAAGAAGGCCUUCGGGUUGUAAAGCACUUUUGUACGGGAAGAAACCUUCCGGGCUAAUACCCCGGGAGAAUGACGGUACCGUAAGAAUAAGAACCGGCUAACUUCGUGCCAGCAGCCGCGGUAAUACGAAGGGUGCAAGCGUUACUCGGAAUUACUGGGCGUAAAGCGUGCGUAGGUGGUUCGUUAAGUCUGCCGUGAAAGCCCCGGGCUCAACCUGGGAAUUGCGGUGGAUACUGGCGGACUAGAGUGCGGUAGAGGGUGGUGGAAUUCCCGGUGUAGCAGUGAAAUGCGUAGAGAUCGGGAGGAACAUCUGUGGCGAAGGCGGCCACCUGGACCAGCACUGACACUGAGGCACGAAAGCGUGGGGAGCAAA
Molecule: ribosomal RNA, 424 nt
Filed under: uncultured bacterium
Lineage: Bacteria
Description: bacterial SSU rRNA
Rfam family: Bacterial small subunit ribosomal RNA
Source: RNAcentral